CCUACGUGAGGCAGCAGUAGGGAAUCUUCCACAAUGGGCGAAAGCCUGAUCGAGCAACGCCGCGUGGGUGAAGAAGGUCUUCGGAUCGUUAAACCCUGUUGUUAGAGAAGAAAGUGCGUGAGAGUAACUGUUCACGUUUCGACGGUAUCUAACCAGAAAGCCACGGCUAACUACGUGCCAGCAGCCGCGGUAAUACGUAGGUGGCAAGCGUUCUCCGGAUUUAUUGGGCGUAAAGGGAACGCAGGCGGUCUUUUAAGUCUGAUGUGAAAGCCUUCGGCUUAACCGGAGUAGUGCAUUGGAAACUGGGAGACUUGAGUGCAGAAGAGGAGAGUGGAACUCCAUGUGUAGCGGUGAAAUGCGUAGAUAUAUGGAAGAACACCAGUGGCGAAGGCGGCUCUCUGGUCUGUAACUGACGCUGAGGUUCGAAAGCGUGGGUAGCAAACAGGAUUAGAUACCCGAGUAGUC
This 465-nucleotide ribosomal RNA is filed under the name uncultured bacterium. RNAcentral's name for it is "partial 16S ribosomal RNA". It matches the Rfam family "Bacterial small subunit ribosomal RNA", at positions 338 to 795 of the family's 1533-position model. The record is from RNAcentral.